GCCUCUGUAGAUUAGUGGUUAGAUCAUCUCCUCAUGAAUUUAAAUGUUAUGGAGAACCCUUUGGUUCGACUCCUAGCAGAGGUA
Mycena crocata is the source of this 84-nucleotide non-coding RNA. The record is from the annotation of a GenBank genome assembly. Lineage: Eukaryota; Fungi; Basidiomycota; Agaricomycetes; Agaricales; Mycenaceae.